AGACUAUUUUGGCAGAAAAAUGUAAUGAUUUUAGAAGUCAUAAAUAUAUAAUUUAUUAUAUAUGUAGUAAA
Molecule: transfer RNA, 71 nt
Filed under: Chilo suppressalis (striped riceborer)
Lineage: Eukaryota; Metazoa; Arthropoda; Insecta; Lepidoptera; Crambidae
Description: tRNA-Ser
Source: RNAcentral